GACAUAUUUGAAUUUUAUCUAGGAGAAAUACAAUUGACUUCCAUCCUGUAAAAAUGAUGUUCUCAAGCCUUACACUUUAUUCCCCUGUAGGAUAUCACUCAAUUUUGCAUCUAUUUGACAUUCCUGAUUACCUAAAUGUGUGUGUGUGUGUGUGUGUGUGUGUGUGUGUGUGUGCUCUUCAAAUUAUCCUUUAAACACAUGAUUUUAAGCUAUGAAUGAAAUAAAAUUCUUGUAACAGAGUCAUGAUUUUAGGUUUUUGAAAAUUAUUCUUUGGUAAGGGACACAACACACCAGGAAAUAAAAUAAGAACUUCAAACUGAAUUCUCAGACACCCUAUUCCUGAAAUUCUUAGCCACUCCCCAUGUAUUUCUCAUGGGUCCUAUCUCUCCUUAGGCCAUGGGCGCCUGCCAUGUCUGCCCAGCGCUUCCUCUCCAGACCUUCCCCAACAUCCCUCUCCUUCCGGUUCCCAACAUCCCAAGCAUGAGGGGACAAUUUCAAGAUGUCUAUUUCUUUAUAAGGUGGAGGAAUUUUACUCCGCACACCUACCUGAGACUUAGAUCCUGGCCUCCUUUGGGUAUGCAAGAGAGGCUUACUUAAAUAUUUUCUUCAUAAUUUAAAAAAUGCAUUUAUUCCUGAAGUUAACACCGCUGUUGCCUGAGAAUUUCUCCUUUAGUUGGCACAUAGUUUCUCUUAAACAUGUGACACGCUCUGCCCACAAAGCAUGUGUGACACUCUAAACAAACAAACAAAAGAAAAACCUCUAACUAUAACUAUCCAUAGCAAGAAGAGCCUCAGUAUCCAAUAAGAAUUGGAUUCUCAUCAGAUGCACCAUCGCUCUGGAACAGGUACUGAUGUGGCAAAUGAGACUCCAUCGGCUUCUGCUUGGGUGACUUUGGGAGACUGAGUUAGACAACUUUCAAACUUCCUUCGAACCUUAAGAUUCAAAGAGAUCACCAUAAUAUUUAGUUAAAACUAAGGUUUUACUCACUACAGUGAUCACACUCAUUGUCUAUACAGCAAAGAAGUUGUUCAAAUCCCUCAAGCCCCAAACCCCUGGAAGAGUCCUGGGAGACUCAGGAAUUGCUCUAAGUCACCAUUACAGUUCUUCUGUGGCUGUGUUUGACAUCUUCGUCGCCUGCUGGUCAUCUUUACCUGCCUCUGCUUCUCCGACUCUUGAACCUUCCCUGGUAUUGUUCCUGAGCUAUGACUAUGACAUCACCACUCAGUGACAUCACUCAUGCAUCACCAGGGCCUCCAGGCAGGCUACACUUAUGUGCAGUCAAGGCUUUUCACUGACACAGCAAGAGCUUUCUCAUCAUGUUUAUAGAUCUCCAGAGAUUCCCAAAAGUAUGGUCCUUCCUCUCUCUGCUUCCUAAAUAACUUCUACUAAGGUUGCUUUUACUAUUUUACUUUUCAGAUUUUUUCCAAGGCCUGUCUCAAGGAACAUGGGAUAUAUUCACCCAGGAAUAGGUCAGCAGAUAUUAACGAGGCACCUUAUAACAUCUAAUUUAAAGCACACAUCCCUUGCAUGACUCCUACCUACAGGUGAAUUCCCUAUCAACUCAGGGAACUCCCUUAAGAUUAGAAUGCAGUUUUGUAUGCCUCCUGUUAUAUAUGUUUAGAUGUGCAGCCUAUUCACCAAUCUCUAACAUCAUCAUCAAUUAAACAGGGCAUGUGACCACCCAUGAACCCAUGCUAGAGUUUUCCAGGUAUGUUCCUGUGAGGUCUUCAGUGAUUCACUGGAAGUACUCACGGAUCUCAGAAAACCUGUCAUGUUACAAUUAUAGUUUAUUAUAUAGCAAGAGGAUUCAGAUUGAAGUCAGCAAUGGAAAAAGGUACAUAGAGCAAACUCCAGCAGAAACCAAGUACAUGCUUCUAGUUCUCUUGCAGUUCAUGCACGUGACCAGCCUAAUUCUCCCUGUUACAACAUGAGAUGACACGCAGACAGUGUUGCCAACCAGGAAGGCUCACCUGAGCUUUGGUGUCCAGGCGAACUGCCCAUGGGACUGACCUUCGGUCUCCAGUUCCUCCAGAGGUCAAGCUGAUACCACCACCAGGAGAGAGAAUCGGCUUGACUUGAGGAUGCCUCUCAAGGUAAAGUACUUCAUUUUUGGCCAAUACCAAGUAAAAUUAGGAGGUGCUUAAUGAUUUGGUCCAACAGAAAUCAAGGGGAAAAAUGUAAAGCAGCCAGUAAACCUUUCCGGAACAUUUGCUCAAUUGGCGUGAAGAGCUUAUACCCAAGCCUGAGACUGACUGCUAGAAAUAGAUGCCUAAAGGUUUUUUUUAAUAGGAUACAUGUAAAUUCAUUAGUCUACAAUACUACAGAAUGCUACUCAAUAAAUAUUUCACUGCCUAACCAUCAUUUCCAAAAGUAUUUUGGUUAUCAAAAUGUUUGUUUCAGAAGGUUCUCACUAAAAAUGCUAAAGCUGAAAGACCAGUCAACUAAAAAUCUCCUAAGAAAGUGAAGCAACAAGAAUUUUGCCUAAAUAUGCAUACAUGAAACCAGAAUGACUCAAGUGUCAGGUCCAGUUGGGACCAUGUUGUAAAUUCAACAGGAAUUCAAUUCAUGAAUUUCCCAUCAUGUGAGGUAUCUGGACGAUAUGUGAACACUGAAAACAACAAUGUCAAUACAAUUGAAUGCAGACAUUAAUAAACCUGUCAUUUGGAUCAGCAGAUAAUCUUGUAACUGAAUAUUUGGAUAUUUGGGGGAAGGAAAUGUACAAAUCAUCAAAGGCGGCAAAUUCCCUUCAGGAAUUGUGGUAUCCACACAUUGUAUCACAGGUUUGGUUUGACUGAAUAAUGCAUGAAGAUGUCUGUUUUAAAUUAUUCACUGACUACAGAGUUGACAAGUAACCACUGAAGAACCAGGAGAUUAGCCACCAGGAGCCUCCAUUUGAUGUCUGACUCAGUGAAGGCUGUUUUUUCUCUAGAGAAUGAGAGGUUCUAUGUAAUAUGAGACUAAGGAAGUAAGGUAGAGUCUGUGGUAUGCUCACAAGAUGUUGCUUUAAAUGUGCUGAUAGAAUUCUGGAGCCCACAAGUCUACAAAUGAGUGCCAUUGAAAUCCACACCUGGGUCUAUAGCACUUUGAUAUGUCAAAGGGGUAGGUUCUGCCAUUUUUCUUACUAAGUAUAUUGAAACAUAACACUACAUAAAAUUUAAAAUUACUCUGUAGGGUCAAAUGAGCAUUUUUUUAGAGAAUGCACAAUGUCCCUAGGAGAAGAGGGUGCUGUCUUUGUUGAAUUGACUCCAUUAUUUUUCAUGCAUGUUGUUUUCAAAAAUUUUUAGAGACACUUUAAAAGAAGGAAGGGAGCUUCUCAAAUAAUGAUGGCUGUCAUUUAAUUAAUCCAUGAUAAAUAACAUUGAUAAAAUAGAUAAAAAAUCAAAAGCUCAGAAUGGUUGAAGAACUUUCUCCAACAUCACAGAAGUACAGUUCUUCUCUCCCAAAGCCUGUGCUACUUCCUGGUUGAUGGCAAUAUGCUGCCUAAUAGGACCUUAAAAAGUCUUUCUCAUCAGCUGACCACGGGCCAAGAGCCUCUCUUCCCUAGUUCAAAUGGACUCUGCUGGAACUCUGUAAAGGACCAUGUCUCUGCAUCUUUACAUAUGCAACAUCUAUCAUGGUGAUCAUUUAUUUUAAUAAAUUGGGUUUUCCUUUU
This is a long non-coding RNA of Leopardus geoffroyi (Geoffroy's cat), 3653 nucleotides long. RefSeq lists it as uncharacterized. Lineage: Eukaryota; Metazoa; Chordata; Mammalia; Carnivora; Felidae. The transcript has 2 exons. The record is from RefSeq and is a predicted model, not a curated record.